This is a small nucleolar RNA of Sphenodon punctatus (tuatara), 70 nucleotides long. NCBI's taxonomy places the organism in Eukaryota, Metazoa, Chordata, Lepidosauria, Sphenodontia, Sphenodontidae. The record is from Ensembl.
UAUGCUGUGAUGAAACACAACAUGCCAUCUGACCUUUCUGUGUUGAAAACCAGAGGCUGUUUCUGAGCUG